GUUGGGAUAGCUCAGUUGGUAGAG
RNAcentral lists this transfer RNA (24 nucleotides) under Uvularia sessilifolia. RNAcentral's name for it is "partial tRNA-Phe". Lineage: Eukaryota; Viridiplantae; Streptophyta; Magnoliopsida; Liliales; Colchicaceae. The record is from RNAcentral. RNAcentral also lists the same sequence under 49 other names.